CCUACGGGUGGCAGCAGUGAGGAAUAUUGGUCAAUGGCCGGAAGGCUGAACCAGCCAUGCCGCGUGAAGGUCAGUGCCCUAUGGGCGUUAAACCUCUUUUGUGCGGGAGCAAUAAUGGUCACGUGUGGCCAGACGAGAGUACCGUACGAAUAAGCAUCGGCUAACUCCGUGCUAGCAGCCGCGGUAAUACGGGGGGUGCAAGCGUUAUCCGGAUUUAUUGGGUUUAAAGGGUGCGUAGGCUGGGAGGUAAGUCAGCGGUGCAAUGCCCCCGCUCAACGGGGUGAAGUGCCAUUGAUACUGGCUUGCUGGAGUGCGGAUGCGGUAGGAGGAAUGUGUGGUGUAGCGGUGAAAUGCAUAGAUAUCACACAGAACACCGAUUGCGAAGGCAUCUCACGAAUCCGCGAUUGACGCUGAUGCACGAAAGCGUGGGUAUCAAACAGGAUUAGAUACCCCGGUAGUC
RNAcentral lists this ribosomal RNA (460 nucleotides) under uncultured bacterium. RNAcentral's name for it is "partial 16S ribosomal RNA". It matches the Rfam family "Bacterial small subunit ribosomal RNA", at positions 338 to 795 of the family's 1533-position model. The record is from RNAcentral.